CUCCAGACUCCUACGGGAGGCAGCAGUGAGGAAUAUUGGUCAAUGGGCGCGAGCCUGAACCAGCCAAGUAGCGUGAAGGAUGACUGCCCUACGGGUUGUAAACUUCUUUUAUAAAGGAAUAAAGUGAGGCACGUGUGCCUUUUUGUAUGUAUUUUAUGAAUAAGGAUCGGCUAACUCCGUGCCAGCAGACGCGGUAAUACGGAGGAUCCGAGCGUUAUCUGGAGUUAUUGGGUUUAAAGGGAGCGUAGAUGGGUUGUUAAGUCAGUUGUGAAAGGUUGCGGCUCAACCGUAAAAUUGCAAUUGAUACUGGCGGCCUUGAGUACAGUUGAGGUGGGCGGAAUUCGUGGUGUAGCGGUGAAAUGCUUAGAUAUCACGAAGAACUCCGAUUGCGAAGGCAGCAUACCGGCGCCCAACUGACGCUGAAGCACGAAAGCGUGGG
This 439-nucleotide ribosomal RNA is filed under the name uncultured bacterium. RNAcentral's name for it is "bacterial SSU rRNA". It matches the Rfam family "Bacterial small subunit ribosomal RNA", at positions 329 to 765 of the family's 1533-position model. The record is from RNAcentral.